Molecule: transfer RNA, 74 nt
Filed under: Promethearchaeum syntrophicum
Lineage: Archaea; Promethearchaeati; Promethearchaeota; Promethearchaeia; Promethearchaeales; Promethearchaeaceae
Description: tRNA-Pro (CGG) (tRNA-Pro-CGG-1-1)
Rfam family: tRNA
About the family: Transfer RNA (tRNA) molecules are approximately 80 nucleotides in length. Their secondary structure includes four short double-helical elements and three loops (D, anti-codon, and T loops).
Source: Rfam by way of RNAcentral
GGGGUAUUAGUCUAGAUUGGUGUGAUACUGCGUUCGGAACGCAGAGGUCGGGCGUUCAAAUCGCUCAUACCCCA